UUUUUUUUCUUUUUACAGCCACACUUGUGGCAUAUGGAGGUUCCCGGGCCAGGGGUUAAUCAGAGUUGCACCCAAGGCUUAUGCAACAGCCACAAUAACACCAGAUCUGAGCCAUAUCUGUGACCUACACCACAGCUUGCAGCAACACCUGAUCUUUAACCCACCGAGCAAGGCCAGGAAUCAAACCCACAUCCUGAUGGACACUAUGUCAGUUCUUAACCUGCUAAGCCAAAACAGGAACUCCCAGAUUCUUGACCCAUAGAAACCACAAUACAAUAAAUGUUGUUUUAGCCACUAAGUUUUGGGAAAUUUGUUAUGCAGCCAUAGACAACAAAUUGAGUCAACUGAUUUCUCAACCUGCUGAUGAGUAAUGACAUGUAAACUGAAAAACAUUGAUCUAGUUCUAGAUGCAAGUCCUGUGCUGGGCCUCAAAACAGAUUCGAGGAUGAAUAAGACCUGGUCAUUGCCUUCAAAGGGCUUUUAGUGUUUUGGGGGGAAUCUCGAAACUUAGUAGGAUGUGUGUAUUUCUAGGGCAGAGUUCAAAGACAGCAGAAGUAAAUGAGAGCUUUGUCCAGGCUGAGACGGACCGCUGUGAGAAGCACAGAAAUUGGUUGGGGAGUCCUUACAGGGAGCAUCCAAAGGGAUUUCCACACCCAGAAAGGCUUGGAAGAGAGAGGAGGAUCCUUCUCGCUCAUGCUUUCAAUCAGGGCUUCUGACCUACGAGACUGCAGCCUUGACCUUCAGCCCUGGUCUCUCUCUGGAUCUACUGACCCCUACUUCCAAGACUUGGUUGGACAGCUCCAAAUGGACGUCUCCUUAACAUCCUUCCCAACAUAUCCUAAAUCCUCCUCUUCUUUAUUCCCCGAGACCAGCAAGUCCUCCUGGUACCUUAAUCCUAUCUAGUCCCCAACACUUGUCACCAUUCACAUUCAUUUUUUUUCAGUUCCAUCCCCACAUCAAUUUCCAAGUGCUGCAGAGUCUAUCUCUGAAGUAUCUCUCUCUCUCUCUCUUUUAUUUAUUUAUUUUUUUUAAGGGCCACUCCUGAGGCAUAUGGAAAUUCCCAGGCUAGGGGUCUAAUUGGAGCUACAGCUGCCAGCCUACGUACACCACAGCCACAACAAUGAAGGAUCUGAGCUGCAUCUGUAACCUAUACCACAGCUCACAGCAAUGCCAGAUCCUUAACCCACUGAGCAAGGCCAGGGAUUGAACCUGCAACCUCAUGGUUCCUAGGUGGAUUGGUUUCCUCUGUACCACGUCAGAAACUCCUCCGAAGUAUCUCUUGAAUCUGUCCCUUUUCUGCAUCCUCUAUAACUACCUUAAAGCUGGCCCUUGUCUUCGUAACAAAGACCCCCAAAAGCAUUGUUGCACGGGUCCUUCCAUAGUGUAGUGGUUAUAUGUGCAGGAUACGGAGUUAGGCUACCUGAUUGAGUUCUAAUUCUACCACUUAGCAGCUAUGUGAACUUUGACAAGCUCUUUAAUUUUUUCCACGCCUUGGUUUCCUCAUCUUUAAAAUAGGGUGACUAAUACGUGUGUGUGUGUGUGUGUGUGUGUGUGUGUAAAGAAUGAAUAGAGUGCUUGGCAGUAAAAGUGACAUUUUAGGGUAUAAACCACCACUGUGAUUAUUUUGAAUCAUCCCAUGCUCUGUUCCUUCCUCCCAGAGUGUUCCCCAAACACAUCAACGCCAGAUCUGAGCUGUGUCCGUGACCUACACCACAGCUCAUGACAACACUGGAUUUUUAACCCACUGAGUGGGGCCAGGAAUCGAACCUGCAUCCCAUGGAUGCUAGUCAGAUUCAUUUCUGUUGAGCCAGGACACGAACUCCUUACCGUUUAUUUUUAAGGUUACUUUCUAUCUAUGGCAAAUUAUACUAUUUUUCAUGAUCAGUAAUGAUACAAAGUUUCCUUUUAAAAUAAAUAUUUAAAAAACCUAAAGUAUAGUUGAUUUACAAUGUUGUGUUAGUUUCAGGUGCACAGCAAAGAGAUUCUGUUACAUACAUAUGAAUAUGUUAUUAUUUAUUUAUUUAUUUAUUGUCUUUUUGCCAUUUCUUGGGCCGCUCCUGCAGCAUAUGGAGGUUCCCAGGCCAGGGGUCGAAUUGGAGCUGUAGCCACUGGCCUAUGCCAGAGCCACAGCAACGCGGGAUCCGAGCCGCGUCUGCAGCCUACACCACAGCUCACGGCAACGCCGGACUGUUAACCCACUGAGCAAGGGCAGGGACCGAACCCUCAGCCUAAUGGUUCCUAGUCGGAUUCGUUAACCACUGCGCCAGGACGGGAACUCCUACUUUUUAGAUUAUUUUCAAUUACAGGAUAUCCAAUAUAGGAUACUGAAUAUAGUUCCCUGUCCUAUACAGUAGGUCCUUGUCAUUUAUCUGUUUUAUAUAUAGUAGUGUGUAUCUGUUAAUCCCAAACUCCUAAUUUAUCUAUCACUAUCCACCUUUGGUAACCAUAAGUUUUUUUUUUAUGCCUAUGGGUCUGUUUCUAUUUUGUAAAUAAGUUCAUUUGUAUCAUUUUUUUGGAUUCCACAUAUAAGUGAUAUCAUAUGAUAACAAUAUCUGACUUACUUCACUCAAUAUGAGAACCUCUAGGUCCAUCCAUGUUUCUGCAAGUGUCAUAUUUCAUUCUUUCUUUCUGGCUGAGUAAUAUUCCAUUGUAUAUAUGUACCACAUCUCCUUUAUCCAUUCAUAUGUCAAUGGACACAUAUGUUGCUUCCAUGUCUUGGCUACAAAAUAAUCAUUUUAAGUUAAAAACUGAGUCAAAUUAAAGAAAAGGUAAGUAAACUCUCUCUCCCAGAAAAAGAAAGUCACGGAGUGUGUGAUUUUUACACUGUAAAUUUUCUCAUCAUGCCUAUUUCCAAAAACCUACAUGAUGCCACUGAAGGCAGAGUUAGGAAAAGAUGUGCAGGAUACAAUCCAUGUGUCCAUACAAAUGACUCAAGCUCACCACUCGGUGGGGCUCAGAUAUAGCAAAUAUCUGGAAGGUGGUCCAACAAUGGCUGAAGUCUGAGAAAAGCUUUAUUAUGGUCACUUUUUAUAUAACUCUUAUUCUCCACAGCAAAAUGCAUGUGUCUUGAGAGUAAUGACUGCUUCUUGAUCAUCUCUGAAAACCGUGCAGUACCUGGAGGGGAGCUCACAGUGGGUACCUCUCACCAGGCUGAACUUUCUGGAAGAGGGACUGAGGUGAAUCACUUUUCUGUUCAGGAUGACAGUGACAUGGAGUGACCUGGAGCCCCUGGCUAUUGGUAACCUAGUUCUAGGCAGAGGUGUGGCCCCAGGGAGGACUGAGGGAGGAAAAGGAUGAUGCAUGGGGUCUGGCUCACCCAUGCCACCGAGACUCUACUCAAAUGUACUCUUCCCUCAAAGGGUGUAUGAUAAGGAGCACGAUGAGGAGAACAGAAUGGAAAAGGCGAGACUGAAGGCCUUGGAUUAGUUUUGUAAUAGAGUGCCACACACUGGGUGGCUUGGCCACAGAAGUUCACUGCCUUACUGUUCUGGAGACUAGAAGUCUGAAACCACAUGUCAGCAGGGUUGACAAAUCAAGGGGACAGCUGUGAGGGAAGGAUCUGUUCAAGGUCUCCAUCCUUGGCAUGUGGAGGGCCCCUUCUCCCUGUGUCCCUUCACAGUCUUCCCUUUAUAUGCGUCUGUAUGUGUCCAGAUUUUCUCUUUCUACAAGAAUAUCAGUCAUAGUGGGUGAGGAUCUACCCUUUGGCCUCAUGUUAAUUUGAUUACCUCUGCAAAGACCCUAUCUCAAAAUAAGUACAAUCUGAGGCACUAGGGAGUUAAGAUUCCAGUACAUCUUUUGGGUAAGACACAAUUCAAACCACACCAGGCCUGGAGAUCGAUUCUAAUAAUUCUCUGAUGGGAAGUGCUCCCAUAAGGGCUCUGUCAUAGG
Molecule: long non-coding RNA, 3888 nt
Filed under: Sus scrofa (pig)
Lineage: Eukaryota; Metazoa; Chordata; Mammalia; Artiodactyla; Suidae
Description: lncRNA (ENSSSCG00060015217.1)
Source: RNAcentral